UAGCUCAGUGGCACAGCACCUGCCUGGCAAGCAUGAGGUCCUGAGUUCAAUUCUUGG
This 57-nucleotide transfer RNA is filed under the name Fukomys damarensis (Damara mole-rat). It matches the Rfam family "tRNA", at positions 8 to 63 of the family's 71-position model. Rfam says of the family: Transfer RNA (tRNA) molecules are approximately 80 nucleotides in length. Their secondary structure includes four short double-helical elements and three loops (D, anti-codon, and T loops). The record is from Rfam by way of RNAcentral. Lineage: Eukaryota; Metazoa; Chordata; Mammalia; Rodentia; Bathyergidae.